Molecule: small RNA, 71 nt
Filed under: Arabidopsis thaliana (thale cress)
Lineage: Eukaryota; Viridiplantae; Streptophyta; Magnoliopsida; Brassicales; Brassicaceae
Description: ATSL162020
Source: RNAcentral
AAUAAAAGUGACUUACUCUUGCAGCUGAGGUUUCACCAACUUCAGCUGAUUGUCUCUGUACCAAAAAAAAA